CGGGUCCCUCUCUUUCUCUCUUCCUCCCGCCUCCGCUGCAUCUGUGCAGGCUUUCGUUGAAUCGCAGGCCUGUGUAGAAUUUGCAUACCUUUGCUAGGAAAUUGAAUUCCCUCUCCUCCUGCAAAACUCUCCCCGGGAUUAAACCGUCACCGUGUGAUUUACUGUAACCUCGCUGCAGAGCAGAGCCAUCGCCGGAGCCAUGAUUGAUGCGGCGGCGGGAGCUUCUCGCUGCAGCAUUUCCACACUGUCAGAUAUUUCAUUUUUGCUCCCUGCACAAUUACCACAGCUCUGAGCAUCAUGAGCAAAGAUGGCCGGCCUGACUGGGGGAAGGAACGAGUCGGAAAAGACUCACAGAGCCGAACAAGGGGGAUGAGAUCAAUGGAUUAAAAACAGGAAGAUGGAAAAAAGAAGGAGGAGCCGAAGCUGGACAAGCUCAUUAAAGGGAGGGCAGCGGUGUGACAAAUGAUGCGCAGAGCUGGUAGCAUCGAUCUCCUUGCUCACAAGGCAAAGGCGGGGUGUCUGGGAAAGGAGAUGCAUUGGGAACUGUGUGUACGUGCGUGUGUAUGUGGGUGUAGGCGUGUGUAGGGGUGUGUGUGUGUACUCGCAGGGCUGAAAAAUACUCAGGUGCCACAGCUCUAAUGGAGAGGCCAGCGCCGCCGUCCCGUUGACGAAUGGCUUGUCAGUGGAUGGGAGGAGGAAAGAGGGGAAGAGGAGCAAAGCCAAAUGAUUGAAUAGUUUUGCUAAUGUUUGACCUCCUCGGUGCCAGUGCGCGUCCUUCACCGAGACUAAAGACAAGAGGAGCAAGGAAGACGAGAAGUUCUUAAUUCGGGCGGAGAAACCUUGAGUUUUUCCACGACCAAGCAGUCUUCAGAAAAGGACGGGAACACCGGCCAAAAGCAAAACAGUUUGCGAAGAGCUAGCAAUAAUGCCACCCAAAAAACCCCCAAUAAAAACAAAAAUGUAGGAGAGAGGAAGAGGAAGAGCUGGAACAAAUGAGCGGGCUUGUUGCGACUCAGGCAGCCUUGCGGGACUAUCAUUACCAUACAUCAGGACAACGAAUGAGGCUUUCAGCAAAGCGG
Molecule: long non-coding RNA, 1079 nt
Organism: Xiphophorus couchianus (Monterrey platyfish)
Lineage: Eukaryota; Metazoa; Chordata; Actinopteri; Cyprinodontiformes; Poeciliidae
Exons: 2
Source: RefSeq, a predicted model, not a curated record